ACGUAAACAACCUGCCUUCAGGAUGGGGACAACAGACGGAAACGACUGCUAAUACCGAAUAAGUUCCAAGAGCCGCAUGGCCCAUGGAAGAAAAGGUGGCCUCUACCUGUAAGCUAUCGCCUGAAGAGGGGUUUGCGUCUGAUUAGCUGGUUGGAGGGGUAACGGCCCACCAAGGCGACGAUCAGUAGCCGGUCUGAGAGGAUGAACGGCCACACUGGAACUGAGACACGGCCAGACUCCUACGGGAGGCAGCAUG
Molecule: ribosomal RNA, 256 nt
Filed under: uncultured bacterium
Lineage: Bacteria
Description: partial 16S ribosomal RNA
Rfam family: Bacterial small subunit ribosomal RNA
Source: RNAcentral